CAAGCUGCUAAGCUUUAUUAUGUUUUCCUCUAAAAGGAUUUCUGCAUUUCUAGCUCAGGGAUAUGAUAGGCCCUAUGCAGUUAUUUGUUGUUGUCUCAUUGUGUCAUUUAAGACUGUAAAUCUAAAUGUCAAUAUUUGACUGAUAUUUGUUGUGUUUCUGGAAGUUAUUUGGUCAUUAAUGAUUCCAGGUACAUAGGUUCCACAAGGUAGGAGUGUACCCCCUGCUACUCCUCAUCAAGAGGAAGAAGGAUAACAUUUUGUCGUCAACUGCACUGUGUCCUCACAGUGGUAUGAUGAAUCAGACCUCAAUGGCAGCCAUCCAAAGGUUGUAUGAGGCAAUUGUGAAAGUGGCAAUCAACAACCAUACCCCCACACUACAACCCUCCUCCUGUUGCUGCCCAAGAACUGUCUGAUACAGUUGCCCCCCAGGAGACCAGCUUCGCCCCCAUCCUCAACCAGGUUGAACCCCUGAUAUCCCCCACCACCCAGGAGACCAGCUUCACCCCAUCCCCAACCAGGUUGAACCCCCAAUAACCCCACCACCCAGGAGACCAGCUACACCCUCAUCCUCAACCAGGUUGAACCCCCGAUAUCCCCCACCACCCAGGAGACCAGCUUCACCCCCACCAAACCAAAGAAGAUGGGGAGAAAGUCCUGCCACCCUCAAAAAACCCUCCAACUCGCUGAGCAUGACACAGUCAAUCCCAUCAAACCCUAUCCAACUCCGACCAAGGAAGAGGAAAUAUGACUACUUGCAAAAAGAUUCUUGCCAAUCGAAUCUGGCAAGUGGCAGAGUCAGGAGUCAGACUUGAGCCAACUCCCCCCGUUUAUCGUGAGGAGCCAAGGAGGAGCUCAGAACCAGAGCUGGUGUUGGAGGUGAGCAAAGCAGAGACUGUGAAGGAGUUAAUGGGGAAAUUGGAGGAGAGAGAUAUGAGGGAGUUGCUGGUUUGGUGCAUGAGGCACGACAUUCGCCCAACGGAGCGUGUCAGGGAUUUAAUGGCACCUGGGUCAGCUCUCCAUACUCAUCCUGAGGUGCGUGCUAGGGGUCUGGUGAAGACUGUGCCAGCCUCACGCACCAGGCCUCCUGUGCAUCUCCCUAGCCUUGCACGUCCUGUGCCAUCUCAGCACUACAGUGCUAACCGUGGCGGGCGUGGUGCUGGUCAGGCACCGUGUUAUGCGGUGGUUCGCACGGUGUCCCCAGUACGCGUGCUUAGCCCGGUGCGCUACAUCUCAGCUUCCUACAUCUGCCGGGCUAGGGUGAAGAUCCAGCCAGGGCGGUUGGUGCCAGCCCUGCUCUCAAGAUCUCCAGUACGCCUUCACGGUCCGUCCAUCCAGUGCCACCUCCACACACCAGCCCUCCAGUGGCAGCUCCCCGCACCAGGCUUCCUGUGCGUGUCCUCGGCCCAGUACCACCAGUGCCAGCACCACGCAUCAGGCCUACAGUGCGUCCCGCCUGUCCAGCGCUGCCGGGGCCUUCAUCCUCUCCCGCCUGUCCGGCGCUGCUGCCGGAGUCUCCCGCCUGUCCAGCGCUGCUGCCGGAGUCUCCCGAGCCCCUCUGUCCCGAGCUGCCGCCCCUCUGUCCCGAGCUGCCGCCCCUCUGUCCCGAGCUGCCGCCCCUCUGUCCAGUGGGGUCAUUAAGUAGGGUCGCCGUGGCUAGGAGGCCACGGAAGCGGACAAGGUGGGGGACUAAGACUACGGUGAAGUGGGGGCCACGUCCAGCACCAGAGCCGCCACCGCGGACAGAUGCCCACCCAGACCCUCCCCAAUAGGUUCAGGUUUUGCGGCCGGAGUCCGCACCUUGGGGGGGGG
Long non-coding RNA from Oncorhynchus tshawytscha (Chinook salmon), 1809 nucleotides. Lineage: Eukaryota; Metazoa; Chordata; Actinopteri; Salmoniformes; Salmonidae. The record is from Ensembl.